AUGCCCCGGCGGUACCGCUACGCCGAGCUGGCUGCUGCGACGGGUAACUUCGCGGAGAACCAGAGGAUCGGGCAGGGCGGGUUCGGCUGGGUAUACCGUGGCUUCUUGAACAACGACGGCGCGGGCCGUCACGUCGCCGUCAAGGCGCUCAGCUCGGAUUCGUCGGCGCAGGGGAGGAAGGAGUUCGAGGCCGAGGUGAAGACAACAACGCGGCUGAGCCAUCGCAACAUUGUGCAGCUGCUGGGCUGGUGCGAGUGCCGCGACGGCGGCCUCCUGCUCGUGUAUGAGCUCGUGCCGGGAGGGAACCUGGACAAGCGUCUCCAUAGCCCAGCCCGUGAUCGGCUCCUCACAUGGGAAGAAAGGUUCGAGAUCGCCCUGGGCCUUGGCUCCGCGUUGCGCUAUCUCCACACGGAGCUGGAGCAGUACUGCGUCGUGCACGGCGACAUCAAGUCUAGCAACGUCAUGAUCGACUCGUCCGGCGAGGCCAAGCUCGGUGACUUCGGGCUGGCGAGGCUCCUCCAACACCGAGCCGAUCCGCGCACCACGGAGGUCGUCGCGGGGACCAUCGGGUACAUAGACCCGGAGUUCGUCAACAGCCGCCGGCCAUGCGCCGAGUCCGACGUCUACAGCUUCGGCGUCCUGCUCCUGGAGAUCGCGAACGGCAGGCGGCCGACCCCGCCCGCAGGGAAGCCGGGCGGAGCUUCGGCGUCGGCGACGCUCCUGGGACGUGUCCGCGAUAUGCAUGACCGAAAAGCCGUUCUCGACGCGGCAGACGUGAGGCUCGCCGGAGACUUCGACGAGCAGGAGAUGGAGCGUGUGCUCGUCACCGGCCUCUGGUGCGCGCACCCCGAUGGUAGCCAGCGGCCGUCGAUGGUUCAAGUCAUGAGUUUCCUCAAGCCCGAAGAUGCACAGCUGCGUGUGCCUCCUCCUACGCAUCGUGUCUUGGAGUUGGAGACGAGCCACGGGUCGACGCGUUCCUCUGUGGCUAGCACUACGUACCACACUCCACCGGAUUCGGGUCACCUAAUGACAGAACAAUGA
Molecule: ribosomal RNA, 1041 nt
Filed under: Triticum aestivum (bread wheat)
Lineage: Eukaryota; Viridiplantae; Streptophyta; Magnoliopsida; Poales; Poaceae
Description: partial small subunit ribosomal RNA
Source: RNAcentral